CAGCCGCGGUAAUACAGAGGGUGCGAGCGUUGUUCGGAAUUAUUGGGCGUAAAGCGCUUGUAGGCGGCCUGUUAAGUUCCGUGUGAAAUCCCCUGGCUUAACCAGGGAAGUGCGCGGAAAACUGGCGGGCUUGAGUGCCGGAGAGGGUCGCGGAAUUCCCGGUGUAGAGGUGAAAUUCGUAGAUAUCGGGAGGAACACCAGUGGCGAAGGCGGCGACCUGGACGGACACUGACGCUGAGACGCGAAAGCGUGGGGAGCAAACAGGAUUAGAUACCCUGGUAGUCCACGCUGUAAACGAUGGGUGCUAGCUGUGGUGGGUGUUGACCCCUGCCGUGGCGCAGCUAACGCAAUAA
This 353-nucleotide ribosomal RNA is filed under the name uncultured soil bacterium. RNAcentral describes it as "bacterial SSU rRNA". It matches the Rfam family "Bacterial small subunit ribosomal RNA", at positions 512 to 863 of the family's 1533-position model. The record is from RNAcentral.